AUUGAACGCUGGCGGCAGGCCUAACACAUGCAAGUCGAGCGGAUGAAGGGAGCUUGCUCCUGGAUUCAGCGGCGGACGGGUGAGUAAUGCCUAGGAAUCUGCCUGGUCGUGGGGGAUAACGUCCGGAAACGGGCGCUAAUACCGCAUACGUCCUGAGGGAGAAAGUGGGGGAUCUUCGGACCUCACGCUAUCAGAUGAGCCUAGGUCGGAUUAGCUAGUUGGUGGGGUAAAGGCCUACCAAGGCGACGAUCCGUAACUGGUCUGAGAGGAUGAUCAGUCACACUGGAACUGAGACACGGUCCAGACUCCUACGGGAGGCAGCAGUGGGGAAUAUUGGACAAUGGGCGAAAGCUUGAUCCAGCCAUGCCGCGUGUGUGAAGAAGGUCUUCGGAUUGUAAAGCACUUUAAGUUGGGAGGAAGGGCAGUAAGUUAAUACCUUGCUGUUUUGACGGUACCAACAGAAUAAGCACCGGCUAACUUCGUG
This 484-nucleotide ribosomal RNA is filed under the name uncultured bacterium. RNAcentral's name for it is "partial 16S ribosomal RNA". It matches the Rfam family "Bacterial small subunit ribosomal RNA", at positions 30 to 507 of the family's 1533-position model. The record is from RNAcentral.